UACAAAUGUAAAAUCAAUUCUGCAAUGUAAAGGAAGCCAACUCCCAUUAUUUCCAUUAAAAGCUGGCAGCUGAAGUGUGAACCAGCAUUAAAAGAUACAAUCCUGCAGACGUUUGGCAUGCAGUCUUCCUGUUUUUACCUGAAUGCAUCUAAAGGCGUGCGGUUAAUAUGAAACGUCUUCUGUAAUUGGAUCUUGCUGCGCCUUGUUAAUGUGUGUUUACGUGACGAAAUCCUGCAGCAAGGACAUAAAGGUUGUCGCAAUUUAUUUUUAGCAAGAGGGCCAAAGCUCAAAGUACAGCAGAGGAAAGACUUUUAUCGAGUCGUACCAAUUGUUUUUCAAAAAAGGGUCACUCUACAUGCAACCUUUUAAAUGUACUACAAGGAGGGAAGCUGGUUUGUUUUAUGCAUGGAUCCCUGACCUGUAUUCGGGUGGCAAAGAGAAACAGGUGUUUUGUUGGUGCGGACAUGGAGCUGUGUGCUGAGCAAGUUGCAGCGUCUGCAGCCAGCAGGAGCUCCGAGAGGCUCAGCAUGCGCACAUUCAGCCUCCAACCCCCCCCCGCAUCUGACAGAAGGAGCAGCAUGGAGGACUUUGCGGGAUUUGUUUACCUGCCCAUAAAACGGCACCAAGAGAUCAUGAACUUAACGUUCAGUCUGCAGCCUGCAGUGGAGAAAGCUGUGUGUGUGAGGACCCGCAGUAAGGACAAGAAUCCUUGUUUCUAGAGUCUCUCAAUCUCACAGUGAUGAUGCUGUCAGGAUGAAGGAAUCCUUGAAGUUGAGCCACUGAGACUCUUUAUUCCAGUUAAAGCGACUUGCAGCCGACACAAAAAUCCAAACUGCGAUUUUUGCACUGAAAUUGUUGUCAUGUCUGAAUCUUUGCACAUAUUAUUUUAGUGUUUAUGUAUAAUCUUAUUUGUGUAUGUUGCCGAUCAUGACGCUAACACAAGGAUAAAGUGGUUAGUUGAUAUUGGUAAAUGUCAUAGAACAGUAGGUUCAUCCAGUAAUGUCUCGUUUAUCUUCCUGUGUGGAAUUAUAUAAAUGAUGUCUUUGAUCGUAAAGAAAAAGAUAAUACUGGUGAAAUUAGUUCUAUAUUUUAGGCUAAAAAGCUUUUAUGUUACUGGCAAGGGAACACUUCAAGUCGUGCACAGUAGACACAUUGGACAUUUAGAAAAUACAAAUGAUAAAAUAAUUAAAUUGCAGAUCAUUAAAAUAAACAGUCAGAACAUGAUCCAGGCAGCUGUUAUACUUCACAGCAAAAUAUCAGCAAAAAGUCAUUGGGAAAUAAAUAAACACUAUUAAACCAGUUUAUUUUUCCAGACCACAUUUUCAAAUUGUACUUAACUGUCAUGUUGUUGAUCUGCAAUUAGUUUUAUAUAAAAUAUUGGUGAAAUGCAACGACCCUAAAGUACACCGUUACACUGAGAAAUUAAAUAAUUAUUUUUGUACAGAACAAAACAAUCCCUCAUUAAUUUAAAUAAAUAUAUGUUAAGAUCAAAUAAAUAGCUGCAUUUUACAGCCUUUGUCAUUUCAAAUUCAUUUGUAUUUUGCCUUUUUAAUCUGAUCACCAAACAGAUACCAUUUAAUACAUAAACAUACGUUAUUAGUUUAUUUUGUAUACCUGUAUACUGUUUGGGUUUAUGAGUUGAGCAAUAAUCUGACAUAACAAGAAAAACAGCAAUACAGAACAUUGGGUUUAUAUAUUAGGGCAAAUCGGUGAAUAUUAAAUAAUACAUUUUGAAGGCUUUGGUGAGAAAUACAGAAACUACAAAUCCUGGAAAACCUGGAAAACAUGUGAUUUUUUUUUGUCCUGGAAAAGUUCCGUUAAAUGAAAAUAUUUACCAAAUAGUUCCUGAAUAAGCUGCAUAAUGUACCAUUUAUACAACCCUGUAUUUUGGUAUGAAUGUUGUAUUGGUGGUGGUCCCUGUGGGAUUGAAACUGUAACUGUGCAUCACAAGGUUAUGUUUUUAGUGCCUUCUUCUUUGUAUUUCACAAUGUUUCUACAAUAAAGUUGUAAAUAUAAUUUGAA
Trematomus bernacchii (emerald rockcod) is the source of this 2022-nucleotide long non-coding RNA. RefSeq lists it as uncharacterized. The transcript is spliced from 5 exons. The record is from RefSeq and is a predicted model, not a curated record. Lineage: Eukaryota; Metazoa; Chordata; Actinopteri; Perciformes; Nototheniidae.